Molecule: ribosomal RNA, 440 nt
Filed under: uncultured bacterium
Lineage: Bacteria
Description: bacterial SSU rRNA
Rfam family: Bacterial small subunit ribosomal RNA
Source: RNAcentral
CCUACGGGAGGCAGCAGUAAGGAAUAUUGGACAAUGGAGGCAACUCUGAUCCAGCCAUGCCGCGUGAAGGAAGACGGCCUUAUGGGUUGUAAACUUCUUUUAUACAGGAAGAAACCUUUCCACGUGUGGAAAGCUGACGGUACUGUAAGAAUAAGGAUCGGCUAACUCCGUGCCAGCAGCCGCGGUAAUACGGAGGAUCCAAGCGUUAUCCGGAAUUAUUGGGUUUAAAGGGUCCGCAGGCUGUUUGUUAAGUCAGAGGUGAAAUCCUACCGCUCAACGGUAGAACUGCCUUUGAUACUGGCAAACUUGAGUUAUUGUGAAGUAGUUAGAAUGUGUAGUGUAGCGGUGAAAUGCAUAGAUAUUACACAGAAUACCGAUUGCGAAAGCAGAUUACUAACAAUAUACUGACGCUGAGGGACGAAAGCGUGGGUAGCGAACAG